GGUUGUGGCUCAGUGGCAGAGUGCUCGCCUAGCACAUGUGAGGCCCUGGGUUCAAUCCUCAGCACCA
RNAcentral lists this transfer RNA (67 nucleotides) under Marmota monax (woodchuck). RNAcentral's name for it is "tRNA.Ala". Lineage: Eukaryota; Metazoa; Chordata; Mammalia; Rodentia; Sciuridae. The record is from RNAcentral.